Molecule: non-coding RNA, 110 nt
Organism: Acanthosepion pharaonis
Lineage: Eukaryota; Metazoa; Mollusca; Cephalopoda; Sepiida; Sepiidae
Source: the annotation of a GenBank genome assembly
GGAGGCCAUAUCGCGUUGAAACACAGGUUCCUGUACGAUGACCGAAGUUAAGCAACAUCGAGCCUGCUCAGUACCUAGAUGGGUGACCGCUUGGGCAUACCAAGUUCCGU